UACAGAGGUCCCAAGCGUUGUUCGGAUUCACUGGGCGUAAAGGGUGCGCAGGUGGGCUGUUAAGUUCGAUGUGAAAGCCCCGGGCUUAACCCGGGAAUGGCAUUGGAAACUGUUGGUCUGGAGGGUUGGAGGGGGGACUGGAAUUCUUGGUGUAGCAGUGAAAUGCGUAGAUAUCAAGAGGAACACCAGUGGCGAAGGCGAGUCCCUGGACAAACCCUGACACUGAGACACGAAAGCCAAGGGAGCAAACAGG
Molecule: ribosomal RNA, 253 nt
Filed under: uncultured bacterium
Lineage: Bacteria
Description: partial 16S ribosomal RNA
Rfam family: Bacterial small subunit ribosomal RNA
Source: RNAcentral